GGCUGGAGUGCAGUGGCGCGAUCUUGGCUCACUGCAAGCUCUGACUUUCGGGUUCACGCCAUUCUCCUGCCUCAGCCUCCCGAGUAGCUGGGACUACAGGUGCCUGCCAGCACGCCCGGCUAAUUUUUUAUAUUUUUAGUAGAGACGGGGUUUCACCGUGUUAACCAGGAUGGUCUCAAUCUCCUGACCUCGUGAUCCGCCCGCCUCGGCCUCCCAAAGUGCUGGGAUUACAGGCCUGAGCGACCGCGCCCGGCCCUAUAUGUAGUUUUUUGAGAACCCUUCAUACUGCUUUCUAUAAUGGCUAUACUAAUUUACGUUCCCAUAAACAGUGUUCUUGACUGUUCUAUUUCUACCAUGUUGUUACAUCAGCAUUGGCUCUUGUCGUUGGUUUGUUUCCUUAGAAUUGCCAGGUAGAAACUGGAAAUUCUAAUUGACUCAAUUGUUUUUAUUUCAGUCAUAUAAUCUUCUGGCCAAGUCUUACAGCAAAGAAUUUUACAUUAAAAAGAAGGAAGAGAAAGCAAGCAAGCAAGCAAGAAGGGUGGUAAUGAGAAGCUGAGAGCAGUGUGCCAACUCGCAAUGCCAUCUUCGCUGACAUGUAAAAAUAGUUGUGUUUUAACAAGUGUGCUUUGCUUAAAUGAAAUAGGGUAGAAACUGGAACCACUGUCUUGAAUCAAAAGAUGGAAGAAGCUUCUCUUGAAGAUUAAAGGGACACAAGACAGAAGUUGUCUGUGUCCCUGAGGGCUUAGCAGAGGAGACUUGACCUACUUUCUUGGGCUUGUUGUGACAUCUAUUUUGUUUAAGUGGGAGAGACAAAGACAAGAUAACAAGCAAAUUAAUAAUUGCAUCUUUGGUAACUUUUCUGAAGAAAAUAAACAUUAGACUCGGUCAGAGAAUAAUGGUGAAAAGGUUGCCCUGGAAAAAGUGAUAAGGAACAGCCUUUUUGGGAUGGUGAAUAUGAAGAGUAUGAAUUACAAUGUUCCUGAAAAGCCACUUUCCUGAGAAGAACUGCAACAGAUUUUCAUGAUAUCAAGAAGGCUUUAUGUUCCUGUAAGAAAGUUUGGCUGUAAGUUCCUAUCAAGAUUCUACAAGAUUGUGUGACUGCAAAAAUACCCUUUGAAGUAGUUGGUCCAGAAACACUGAAGGUUUGUAUAGAAGAGACAGACCUUCCACCCUGUCUCUUCUAUCACACAGCAAUGACUGAUAAACUGGAAAAUUUAAAGAAGACAUAAAGGCUAAAUUCCAUGACAAAUCAUGUCAGUGGACUAGUCUAAAUGGAAGUGCAAAACAGUAAGUGUGCACUGAAGUGCAAAACCAACUGAGUUCUACAUGACCGAAUAUAAGCAUAGAUCGCCAGGAAUUCAGCUCCUACAAAGAAAAUUGGAACCAAUGUGUAUUGACCCUUGCCAAAAAGUAGAGACUGUUUUGGCUAUGAAAAUAGUCCUGGUCACAGCUCCCACCAAAAAAUGAAAACUUAAAAAUAAUGAUAAUUUUAAAAGCUGGGAUGUAUUUUUUAGGGCCGAGGAAAGUUUCGCACUGAGUUACUUGAGAUAAUGGGAGAAAACUAAGACAACUGUGCAGCCACCACAGGUAACUCAGGAACUGGAUAGUAUGCCCAGUUAGGAUUAGAGACUUGAGAUGUCUUAUGUAGCAAUAAACUGAGGCUAUCAGUGGCAUGCAAAGUAAACCCAAAGAAAGCAGAAAGGAAAUAAAAAGUACUAAAGGUAAAAUCAGUAAUUUUAAAAAGAAUAUAUAACCCAAUAGAAUCAAAGUUUAGUUCUCCAAA
Molecule: long non-coding RNA, 1783 nt
Filed under: Homo sapiens (human)
Lineage: Eukaryota; Metazoa; Chordata; Mammalia; Primates; Hominidae
Description: HSALNT0133468
Source: RNAcentral